RNAcentral lists this ribosomal RNA (460 nucleotides) under uncultured bacterium. Its description in RNAcentral is "partial 16S ribosomal RNA". It matches the Rfam family "Bacterial small subunit ribosomal RNA", at positions 338 to 795 of the family's 1533-position model. The record is from RNAcentral.
CCUACGGGAGGCAGCAGUAAGGAAUAUUGGUCAAUGGCCGGAAGCCUGAACCAGCAAUGCCGCGUGAAGGUCAGUGCCCUAUGGGCGGUAAAGUUCUGUUGUACGGGAACAAUAAUGGUCACGGGUGAUCAGUCGUGAGUGCCGUUCGACUAAGCAUCAGUUAACUCCGUGCCCGUGGCAGCGGUAAUAUUGGGGGUGAAAGCGUUAUCCGGAUUUAUUGGGUUUAAAGGGUGAGUAGGCUGGGAGGUAAGGCAGCGGUGGAAUUGCACCGCUCAACGGGGUGAAGUGCCAUUGAUACUGCCUGGCUGGAAUGCGGAUGAGGUGGGAGGAAGGUGUGGUGUAGCGGUGAAAUGCAUAGAUAUCACGCAGAACACCGAUUGCGAAGGCAGCUCACGAAUCCGCUAUUGACGCUGAUGCACGAAAGCGUGGGUAGCAAACAGGAUUAGAUACCCCAGUAGUC